UGGUUGGAGGACUUGGGAUUCCCUUUCCUCACCAAUCUGGCCCCAGAGACUUGCCCUCCGUGUCCCCUGACUGGCCCCUUGGGUCACCUGGAGGGGGAUAAAAGGGGCAGCAGGGCUGACUCAGGA
Gavialis gangeticus (Gharial) is the source of this 126-nucleotide long non-coding RNA. RefSeq lists it as uncharacterized. The transcript has 2 exons. The record is from RefSeq and is a predicted model, not a curated record. NCBI's taxonomy places the organism in Eukaryota, Metazoa, Chordata, Crocodylia, Gavialidae.